This is a non-coding RNA of Acanthosepion pharaonis, 112 nucleotides long. NCBI's taxonomy places the organism in Eukaryota, Metazoa, Mollusca, Cephalopoda, Sepiida, Sepiidae. The record is from the annotation of a GenBank genome assembly.
UACGGUUAUAUCUCGUUGAAACACUAGUUCCCGUAAUAUCACCGAAGAUAAGCAACGUUGAGUCUGGUCAGUACCUACAUGGAUGGCCGCUUGUGAAUACCAGGUGAUGUAA